This 254-nucleotide ribosomal RNA is filed under the name uncultured bacterium. RNAcentral's name for it is "partial 16S ribosomal RNA". It matches the Rfam family "Bacterial small subunit ribosomal RNA", at positions 524 to 776 of the family's 1533-position model. The record is from RNAcentral.
UACGUAGGGUGCAAGCGUUGUCCGGAAUUAUUGGGCGUAAAGAGCUCGUAGGCGGCUUGUCGCGUCGAAUGUGAAAACCCACGGCUCAACUGUGGGCUUGCAUUCGAUACGGGCAGGCUAGAGUUCGGUAGGGGAGACUGGAAUUCCUGGUGUAGCGGUGAAAUGCGCAGACUAUCAGGAGGAACACCGGUGGCGAAGGCGGGUCUCUGGGCCGAUACUGACGCUGAGGAGCGAAAGCGUGGGGAGCGAACAGG